UGGGGAAUAUUGGGCAAUGGACGAAAGUCUGACCCAGCGACGCCGCGUGCGGGAUGAAGGCCUUCGGGUUGUAAACCGCUUUCAGCAGGGAAUAAGCGCAAGUGAAGGUACCUGCAGAAGAAGCACCGGCUAACUAUGUGCCAGCAGCCGCGGUAAUACAUAGGGUGCAAGCGUUGUCCGGAAUUAUUGGGCGUAAAGAGCUCGUAGGUGGUUUGUUACGUCGGUUGUGAAAUUCAGGGGCUCAACCCCUGACUUGCAGCCGAUACGGGCAAGCUAGAGUUUGGUAGGGGAGACUGGAAUUCCUGGUGUAGCGGUGGAAUGCGCAGAUAUCAGGAGGAACACCGAUGGCGAAGGCAGGUCUCUGGGCCAAUACUGACACUGAGGAGCGAAAGCGUGGGGA
This 400-nucleotide ribosomal RNA is filed under the name uncultured bacterium. RNAcentral's name for it is "bacterial SSU rRNA". It matches the Rfam family "Bacterial small subunit ribosomal RNA", at positions 355 to 767 of the family's 1533-position model. The record is from RNAcentral.